GAUGAACGCUGGCGGCGUGCCUAAUACAUGCAAGUCGAGCGAACGGACGAGAAGCUUGCUUCUCUGAUGUUAGCGGCGGACGGGUGAGUAACACGUGGAUAACCUACCUAUAAGACUGGGAUAACUUCGGGAAACCGGAGCUAAUACCGGAUAAUAUUUUGAACCGCAUGGUUCAAAAGUGAAAGACGGUCUUGCUGUCACUUAUAGAUGGAUCCGCGCUGCAUUAGCUAGUUGGUAAGGUAACGGCUUACCAAGGCAACGAUGCAUAGCCGACCUGAGAGGGUGAUCGGCCACACUGGAACUGAGACACGGUCCAGACUCCUACGGGAGGCAGCAGUAGGGAAUCUUCCGCAAUGGGCGAAAGCCUGACGGAGCAACGCCGCGUGAGUGAUGAAGGUCUUCGGAUCGUAAAACUCUGUUAUUAGGGAAGAACAUAUGUGUAAGUAACUGUGCACAUCUUGACGGUACCUAAUCAGAAAGCCACGGCUAACUACGUGCCAGCAGCCGCGGUAAUACGUAGGUGGCAAGCGUUAUCCGGAAUUAUUGGGCGUAAAGCGCGCGUAGGCGGUUUUUUAAGUCUGAUGUGAAAGCCCACGGCUCAACCGUGGAGGGUCAUUGGAAACUGGAAAACUUGAGUGCAGAAGAGGAAAGUGGAAUUCCAUGUGUAGCGGUGAAAUGCGCAGAGAUAUGGAGGAACACCAGUGGCGAAGGCGACUUUCUGGUCUGUAACUAACGCUGAUGUGCGAAAGCGUGGGGAUCAAACAGGAUUAGAUACCCUGGUAGUCCACGCCGUAAACGAUGAGUGCUAAGUGUUAGGGGGUUUCCGCCCCUUAGUGCUGCAGCUAACGCAUUAAGCACUCCGCCUGGGGAGUACGACCGCAAGGUUGAAACUCAAAGGAAUUGACGGGGACCCGCACAAGCGGUGGAGCAUGUGGUUUAAUUCGAAGCAACGCGAAGAACCUUACCAAAUCUUGACAUCCUUUGACAACUCUAGAGAUAGAGCCUUCCCCUUCGGGGGACAAAGUGACAGGUGGUGCAUGGUUGUCGUCAGCUCGUGUCGUGAGAUGUUGGGUUAAGUCCCGCAACGAGCGCAACCCUUAAGCUUAGUUGCCAUCAUUAAGUUGGGCACUCUAAGUUGACUGCCGGUGACAAACCGGAGGAAGGUGGGGAUGACGUCAAAUCAUCAUGCCCCUUAUGAUUUGGGCUACACACGUGCUACAAUGGACAAUACAAAGGGCAGCGAAACCGCGAGGUCAAGCAAAUCCCAUAAAGUUGUUCUCAGUUCGGAUUGUAGUCUGCAACUCGACUACAUGAAGCUGGAAUCGCUAGUAAUCGUAGAUCAGCAUGCUACGGUGAAUACGUUCCCGGGUCU
Molecule: ribosomal RNA, 1372 nt
Filed under: uncultured bacterium
Lineage: Bacteria
Description: bacterial SSU rRNA
Rfam family: Bacterial small subunit ribosomal RNA
Source: RNAcentral